RNAcentral lists this ribosomal RNA (384 nucleotides) under uncultured bacterium. RNAcentral describes it as "bacterial SSU rRNA". It matches the Rfam family "Bacterial small subunit ribosomal RNA", at positions 370 to 772 of the family's 1533-position model. The record is from RNAcentral.
AAUGGGGGCAACCCUGAUGCAGCGACGCCGCGUGAGCGAUGAAGCCCUUCGGGGUGUAAAGCUCUUUCGGCAGGAACGAUAAUGACGGUACCUGCAGAAGAAGCUGCGGCUAACUACGUGCCAGCAGCCGCGGUAAUACGUAGGCAGCAAGCGUUGUUCGGAACUACUGGGCGUAAAGAGUGUGUAGGAGGUGUCGUAAGUUUGGGUGAAAUCUCCCGGCUAAACGGGGAGGGUGCCCCGAAGACUGCGAUGCUCGAGUGUGGGGGAGGAAAGCGGAAUUCCUGGUGUAGCGGUGAAAUGCGUAGAUAUCAGGAGGAACACCUGCGGUGUAGACGGCUUUCUGGACCUUUACUGACACUGAGACACGAAAGCGUGGGUAGCAAA